GACAGAGGGUGCAAACGUUGUUCGGAUUUACUGGGCGUAAAGCGCGUGUAGGCGGCUUCGCAAGUUGGAUGUGAAAGCCCACGGCUCAACCGUGGAAGCGCAUCCAAAACUGCGUCGCUUGAGUCUCGGAGAGGAAGGUGGAAUGCUUGGUGUAGAGGUGAAAUUCGUAGAUAUCAAGCAGAACACCUGCGGCGAAGGCGGCCUUCUGGACGAUGACUGACGCUGAGACGCGAAAGCGUGGGGAGCGAACAGG
Molecule: ribosomal RNA, 253 nt
Filed under: uncultured bacterium
Lineage: Bacteria
Description: partial 16S ribosomal RNA
Rfam family: Bacterial small subunit ribosomal RNA
Source: RNAcentral